UGCUUGUGUUCCUCCCCAACUCUUUUCACAUUUGAAUAUGGCUCAUGGGUAAAAAGUUUGGGAACUUCUGACAUAUAAAAUGCACUCUCAUCUCCGUGGGCUUCUAUUUCAGAUGCAGACAAGAUUAACCAAUCACAAACCUGUAUCACGAGGAAACGGCUGAAAAAGUACUGAUUGGCCACUGAUUUACCAGUGAUACUGUUCUUUUAUGAAUAACGGUGCCUCGGGUCUCAGGAACUAUCUCAGGUUUUACCAUAUGCCGGGCUAAUGUGUCCACUUGUACAUCAUGUUCUGCAAUAAACUGUGACACUGAACAGACCCCUCUAAGUGGGAGAAGCGUGUCACUAUAACCAGUAUACUAGUAGGUGCUUAGGAAAACAUCAUGUCCUGAAAUACCAGAAUAAUGAAGCUUCUUUCUUACUAAUAUAUAUUAUAUUGUAUAUGUACAUUUUAUACACAUUUAUAUACAUGCAGAAUUAUGCCUUAUUUUUAUCUUUCAGCGUCUGCUUGCACUGUAAAGGGCCCCCUAAGAAGACUAAUCUUUUCAAAUGGCCUAGCUUUUAAGUAAUUUAUUGUAUUUUUAUAUACAUGAUCUGUUAUCCAGAAACCCAUUAUCCAGAAAGCUCCAAAGACUGUCUCC
Molecule: long non-coding RNA, 640 nt
Organism: Xenopus laevis (African clawed frog)
Lineage: Eukaryota; Metazoa; Chordata; Amphibia; Anura; Pipidae
Exons: 3
Source: RefSeq, a predicted model, not a curated record